Molecule: ribosomal RNA, 118 nt
Filed under: Mandrillus leucophaeus (drill)
Lineage: Eukaryota; Metazoa; Chordata; Mammalia; Primates; Cercopithecidae
Source: RNAcentral
UCUGUGGCCAUACCACUCUGAACGCACCUGAUCUCGUCUGAUCUUGGAAGCUAAGUACGGUUGGGCCUGGUUAGUACUUGAAUGGGAGACCACAUGGGAAUACCGGGUGCUGUAAGAA